CAGCUGACAGGAUUUGGCCCUGAUUUCAUUUCUUCUCUGUAAAAAGUUUCAGUGUCGCAACUCUCUGGAUGGCGUGCUUUGCUCUGAGAUUCUGCCUGCACAAUAACUGGUUUUAAACAAUUCUGUUUAAUCAAGAGUGAGGUAAAUGGCAGAGAUUCAAUGUUCUAGAUCAGCAGUUUCCAGGAUUGAUACAUCUUAAUCAAGCAAUUAGUUCAGUCACCAAACCAAAAUAUGAUUAUUCGCAGAGCUCCAGCGGUGAGUCCCUCUAUUUUCAGUGCACAUAAGUCUCUUUUCAGUGCAGAGAUGGCAGAAGGAGCAAUGAAGAUGCAGUAGAAAGCAGAGAAGUUGAAUGGGAGUUAUGGGGAGCCGUUGGAAGGAAUAGGAAGAUUCCUGUGGUGUGAUUAGAAUAUUGACCAGCCUGGCUACAAGCUCACAGACAGAUUUGACUGCUGUGAUGUUGCGAGUGUCCUGGCCUCUGCAAUGCCAAAGGGGUUCUACAAUCAAGUCCUUCUGUCAGUGGGAAACAUUUCUGUUUUGCCAACCCAAAGCAUUCAAACUUCAUGAGUC
Mauremys reevesii (Reeves's turtle) is the source of this 567-nucleotide long non-coding RNA. RefSeq lists it as uncharacterized. The record is from RefSeq and is a predicted model, not a curated record. Lineage: Eukaryota; Metazoa; Chordata; Testudines; Geoemydidae. The transcript is spliced from 3 exons.